RNAcentral lists this ribosomal RNA (484 nucleotides) under uncultured bacterium. Its description in RNAcentral is "partial 16S ribosomal RNA". It matches the Rfam family "Bacterial small subunit ribosomal RNA", at positions 30 to 507 of the family's 1533-position model. The record is from RNAcentral.
AUUGAACGCUGGCGGCAGGCCUAACACAUGCAAGUCGAGCGGAUGAAGGGAGCUUGCUCCUGGAUUCAGCGGCGGACGGGUGAGUAAUGCCUAGGAAUCUGCCUGGUAGUGGGGGAUAACGUCCGGAAACGGGCGCUAAUACCGCAUACGACCUGAGGGAGAAAGUGGGGGAUCUUCGGACCUCACGCUAUCAGAUGAGCCUAGGUCGGAUUAGCUAGUUGGUGGGGUAAAGGCCUACCAAGGCGACGAUCCGUAACUGAUCUGAGAGGAUGAUCAGUCACACUGGAACUGAGACACGGUCCAGGCUCCUACGGGAGGCAGCAGUGGGGAAUAUUGGACAGUGGGCGAAAGCCUGAUCCAGCCAUGCCGCGUGUGUGAAGAAGGUCUUCGGAUUGUAAAGCACUUUAAGUUGGGAGGAAGGGCAGUAAGUUAAUACCUUGCUGUUUUGACGUUACCAACAGAAUAAGCACCGGCUAACUUCGUG